RNAcentral lists this ribosomal RNA (466 nucleotides) under uncultured bacterium. RNAcentral describes it as "partial 16S ribosomal RNA". It matches the Rfam family "Bacterial small subunit ribosomal RNA", at positions 28 to 507 of the family's 1533-position model. The record is from RNAcentral.
GAUGAACGCUGGCGGCGUGCUUAACACAUGCCAGUCGAACGAUGAAGCCCAGCUUGCUGGGUGGAUUAGUGGCGAACGGGUGAGUAACACGUGAGUAACCUGCCCUUAACUCUGGGAUAAGCCUGGGAAACUGGGUCUAAUACCGGAUAGGAGCUUCCACCGCAUGGGGGGUGUUGGAAAAAUUUUUCGGUUUUGGAUGGACUCGCGGCCUAUCGGCUUGUUUGUGAGGUAUUGGCUCACCAAGGCGACGACGGGUAGCCGGCCUGAGAGGGUGACCGGCCACACUGGGACUGAGACACGGCCCAGACUCCUACGGGAGGCAGCAGUGGGGAAUAUUGCACAAUGGGCGAAAGCCUGAUGCAGCGACGCCGCGUGAGGGAUGACGGCCUUCGGGUUGUAAACCUCUUUCAGUAGGGAAGAAGCGAAAGUGACGGUACCUGCAGAAGAAGCACCGGCUAACUACGUG